This 128-nucleotide small RNA is filed under the name Marmota monax (woodchuck). Lineage: Eukaryota; Metazoa; Chordata; Mammalia; Rodentia; Sciuridae. The record is from RNAcentral.
GCCGGGUGUGGUGGCGCACGCCUGUUAGUUCUAGCGGCUCAGGAGGCUGAGACAGGAGGAUCGCAAGUUUAAAGCCAGCCUUAGCAACUUAGUGAGGCUCUAAGCAACUCAGCGAGAUCCUGUUUCUA